UACGGAGGGUGCUAGCGUUGUUCGGAAUUACUGGGCGUAAAGCGCACGUAGGCGGCUGUUCAAGUCAGAGGUGAAAGCCCGGAGCUCAACUCCGGAACUGCCUUUGAAACUAGAUAGCUCGAAUAAUGGAGAGGCGAGUGGAAUUCCGAGUGUAGAGGUGAAAUUCGUAGAUAUUCGGAAGAACACCAGUGGCGAAGGCGGCUCGCUGGACAUGUAUUGACGCUGAGGUGCGAAAGCGUGGGGAGCAAACAGG
This 253-nucleotide ribosomal RNA is filed under the name uncultured bacterium. Its description in RNAcentral is "partial 16S ribosomal RNA". It matches the Rfam family "Bacterial small subunit ribosomal RNA", at positions 524 to 776 of the family's 1533-position model. The record is from RNAcentral.